Molecule: long non-coding RNA, 691 nt
Filed under: Mus musculus (house mouse)
Lineage: Eukaryota; Metazoa; Chordata; Mammalia; Rodentia; Muridae
Description: long non-coding RNA chr9:99322825-99323516
Source: RNAcentral
CCACUGGGCCUAUGCUGUAAAGGAGGAAGUAGCCCCUGGCCCCAGUAGGGACAAGCAGAGGUCUGGCUACAUCCCCCCCCCCCUGGGUUUUCCACAAUACCAUGGCUAGCAUUUUGAGUGGGGUAAUUCUUCAUUGUGCAAAACUGUUCAUGCAUCGCAGGGAUUUGCCUUCCUGGCUGGACCCGUUCCCUCUAAAUGCCAGAGGCACUCUAAUAGUCAGAUGCCCCUCUAACUUGAAAACUGGUUCCAGUGCACAGUAAGUGGCAAUAAGUGGUACCAGUGUCACGUAGGCAUCGAUAACAGACAACAUGUGUGUGAGAAAGCCAGGAAGUCGCCUAUCUCAAGCCAAAUUCAACCUGCAGCGGGUCCUGUCAGCCAAGGGGAGGAUACAGUUCCUGUGUGACUCAGAAGUAUGUACGCAUUGGCAUGUACCUGAACUCAGCCCUGGAAGGAAGUAUCACAAGCCAUACCCUCCACCUGCAACACUACAAACUGCAGUCUCCGAGACCAUGAAGACUCUAGAAUGAGCGGCAGCACCCUGCGGGAGCCAUGUCUUCUAUUUCCUUGGUCAUGUCUCUACUUGUUAGAACUCCAUACUCGGGGAAACAAGCUGCAUACUACAAGGGCCUAAGAUUUGAGUCCCUUCUGCUCCUGCCUCCUGCCCUGAGAAAUAAACAUCUAUGUCACCCCC